GUCGAACGGAUUAUUCUUUAUAGCUUGCUACGAAGAUAAUUAGUGGCAGACGGGUGAGUAAUGCAUAGGAAUCUACCUAGUAGUAUAGGAUAGCCACUAGAAAUGGUGGGUAAUACUGUAUAAUCCCUGCGGGGGAAAGAUUUAUCGCUACAUGAUGAGCCUAUGUUAGAUUAGCUAGUUGGUAGGGUAAAGGCCUACCAAGGCGAUGAUCUAUAGCUGGUCUGAGAGGAUGAUCAGCCACACUGGAACUGAGAUACGGUCCAGACUCCUACGGGAGGCAGCAGUGGGGAAUAUUGGACAAUGGGCGCAGGCCUGAUCCAGCUAUGCCGCGUGAGUGAGGAAGGCCUUAGGGUUGUAAAACUCUUUCAGUAGGGAAGAUAAUGACGGUACCUA
This 393-nucleotide ribosomal RNA is filed under the name Anaplasma phagocytophilum. RNAcentral describes it as "bacterial SSU rRNA". It matches the Rfam family "Bacterial small subunit ribosomal RNA", at positions 61 to 481 of the family's 1533-position model. Lineage: Bacteria; Pseudomonadati; Pseudomonadota; Alphaproteobacteria; Rickettsiales; Anaplasmataceae. The record is from RNAcentral.